GGCACAGUAGACGAGUGGUUAAGUCAUCAGACUUUCGAUCUGAAGAUCGUGGGUUCAAAUCCCAUCUGUGCUUCCA
This 76-nucleotide transfer RNA is filed under the name Gammaproteobacteria bacterium. RNAcentral describes it as "tRNA-Glu". It matches the Rfam family "tRNA". From Rfam's summary of the family: Transfer RNA (tRNA) molecules are approximately 80 nucleotides in length. Lineage: Bacteria; Pseudomonadati; Pseudomonadota; Gammaproteobacteria. The record is from RNAcentral.